RNAcentral lists this long non-coding RNA (292 nucleotides) under Mytilus galloprovincialis (Mediterranean mussel). Lineage: Eukaryota; Metazoa; Mollusca; Bivalvia; Mytilida; Mytilidae. The record is from RNAcentral.
UAAAACCGUCAUGUUCCUUUCCAAAUAACUUGUCAAACAUCGUUUAUUUUUGUAAAUUUUCUUGCAUUCGUCCGCCAUUGACCGAUUUCUAAACUACAGAUCUGAACCGGACCAGCUAUGACCGAAAUCCGUACUUUUACAAUAAUUACUACGGACGCACGGAUGGAACAGCUGACAGAAGAAUAUUGACCCCAAAGGGAAAAAUUACGCAUCCCACACGCAUUAAGAGACUUUUGGUUACAUCUAAUUGAUUGGUGUAUAUAAUUCCCUAUAUUUUUUAUGAAUGUUUCAA